Molecule: transfer RNA, 65 nt
Filed under: Schistosoma mansoni
Lineage: Eukaryota; Metazoa; Platyhelminthes; Trematoda; Strigeidida; Schistosomatidae
Source: RNAcentral
CCGGCUUAGUGGUUAAGCGCUCAGGCGCAAGACCGAUAGGUCCUGGGUUCGAACCCCGUGAGGCG